This 678-nucleotide unclassified non-coding RNA is filed under the name Hevea brasiliensis (rubber tree). Lineage: Eukaryota; Viridiplantae; Streptophyta; Magnoliopsida; Malpighiales; Euphorbiaceae. The record is from RNAcentral.
UGCCACGCUCUGAAAGACCAACCUUGUCCUCAAGGUUGAAUGAAGGAAACUGGUUCUGGAUAUCAACUAAAUUCAUCCAAGUUGCUUCUUCCUCAGGUUUCCCUUUCCAUUGAAUCAGAAUUUGAAUGACCGGGUAUUGAUCAACUAUAAUCCUGCGCCAGUUCAACACUUUCUCUGGCUCUACCAUAUUUUCAGUUACCACCAUUUCCUUUGGAAGUUCAGUAACAACUGGAUGAUUGCCUAUCACAAGUUUGAGUUGAGAAACAUGGAAGACCGGAUGAAUUCUGGCUUCCACCGGUAAGAGCAAUUUAUAGGCAACAGGUCCCACACGUUCCAGUAUUUGGAAAGGCCCAAAAUAACGAGCUGCUAACUUUGGAAUAACUCUCUAUUGUAAAGAGAUAGAUUUGUGUGGUCGGAACUUUAAAAAUACUGCUUCACCAACCUGAAAUUCAACAUCCUUUCGAUGUUUAAUGGCAGCUUUUACCAUUCUCCGCUGAGCUCUUGCCAAAUUGUAUUGAAGUUGACACAAUAUUCCGUCCCUGUCCAACAAGGUCUGUGCCACUGCUUCCACCUUCGUUUCACCAGGCAAGAACUUGAGUAAAUUUGGCGGUGGUCUACCAUAUACUGCUUCAAUUGGUUGGCUUGGGCAGAAUAAUGGUAUAAUACAAGCCAUCAUAC